Cyprinus carpio carpio is the source of this 4991-nucleotide long non-coding RNA. The record is from Ensembl. Lineage: Eukaryota; Metazoa; Chordata; Actinopteri; Cypriniformes; Cyprinidae.
UCUCACAUGAAAACAGACAUUUUGAAUAAUGUAUUGGUUGUAUUUGUCCAAGUAAUUACAAUGAAAGAAGCCUGGAGCAUUCAAGUCUUUAACAAAACAAAAACACCAUAAAUGCAUCAUUAAAGUCUCAUAAAAGAGUCCAUUCCUUGUCUGUGUUUUAUACACAAAUGUCUUCUGAAAAAUAAAGAUCAUUUCCCUUUUUAUUUUCCACUGAGGAAAUAAAGGCAGGUUUGGAACAACACCAGGGUGAGUAAAUGGUGACAAUUUUCAUUUUCUGUGAACUAUGUGUAUUGGACAAAAAAAAUGAAAUUAAAAUAGUUUGCACAUGAAUGAUUCCGAUUAGAAUUAAAGUGCUUACUGUAUAAACAUAGAUCACCAUGUUAUUAACACAAAAUUAAUUCAUCUUUAAAUUGAGUUUCUAUAGCCUACCAAUUAUGUCUAAACGAAGUCGAGCAAAAGAGUGAGUGCAAGAGGGUUUCAAAAGUAGCCUAUACUCACCAGAACUGGCUGAAGAGCUAAAUGAAAAAGCUUUAAUGAAGUAAUGUGUUCCCGCGUGUGCGUGUCCUCCGUGCGUAAGCGUAAAAGCACCGACAGCGUGCUGCACGCUCCGCUAUUGGUCAGCUGAGCGCACGCACUAGAUUGCGGAGGCUCUGCGUUGCAUUGCCAGUGAAAGCAGCUGCGCUAUUAGGAGACACGGGGGAGUAGCGUGACGUUCACUUCAACGGAGCACAUGAGACGUACAUGGGAUAUAAUAGGUUACACUAUAUCUACGGUGGUCUGUGUUCGGAUAUGCAGUCUUAAAACGAAGUGGUGUGAUGGAUAUCAUUUCUAGACGCUCCAAAAUCCUCAUGAAGGUUAAAGCCAAAAUCCUUCAGCCCAGCAGCAUCUUCUCAGCGUACGACAGCUGCAGUUGUGUGAUUCGUGACAUCGCAUCCGUAUGAGGAAAAUGACUGGCACACUGUAAAGCAUCUGAUACUAUUCCCCCAAGAAGAAUGCUGCAACAGAACAACAACAAUAACUGCUUGGACAUGGCCCAUAGAGAGCUACUGCAUGAAUGCCGGAGAACCAAUGUCUCAUUCGCCAGUGCCCUUGAGUUUGGAGCCAUACCCCUGAUUAAAGGCCUGAGAGCAUGGGCUGUUAGUGGCGGCUACUCUAAAGCCAGAAGAAAGGCUGCUAAUGGAUCUCGGGCACAGGGCACAUGCCAACAGCCUCCUGAAAACAGGGUAGGGGAGAGAAGCUGGUCAGGUCAAGUCAGCAGUGGCUAUGGGCACACACUGGAUAGCACAAUUAGUGCAACCAGAACUCCAGGGGUCAGGCAAGGCGGUCUUGGUGCUCUUGUAACUGUGGCCACUUUGAAGGGCACUGAGGCGGGUGGCAGGCAGACUCAGACACGCUGCCUCUUUCUCAAGGCCCAGGGAAGGGGAAGCUACAUCUGUGCUGUUGGAAACCCCGGGACUGGGACAAGAGUCACGGCUCCACGGACUCAUGCUGUCAUUCUUGAAGGGACAAAGGAAGAGCUUAGAUGUUCCUCUAAAGGGCAGAAGGUGAGCCAGGAUGGGCCAGACGAUGGUGGAUUGUUCAAGGCCAAGCCCAGGGCCAUACGAAAAUGGAGGAAAUGCGGUAAACCCACAGAGAAGAGAACAGCGGCCCACAGCAAAGGGGAAAACGCUAGUCAGCACAGUGACCAAAAAAAUGCAGUGAUUUCAGAUGCACAACCACUUAGCAUAAUAGCAGAUAACACAAAAUCACAAGGCCUGAUGGGUAGCUAUCCAAGUCAGGACGACUUGAAGUUGAAGGGCAAAGACAAAAGGGCUCAUUCCCCCAUAUUAGUGAAAGCUGUCACACCCGAGAGCACAGAUCCACAAACCUGCUGCUCUUCUGCCAAACCAUGUGCCAAACCAGGUGAGCAGGUUGAAGAUGAGAUGAGCCUUAAUCAAUCCGAUAACUGUUCUGAAAAAGAAUUCAGUUGUGCCAAUGUGCAAGGAGACACUGAGGUCAGUAUAUGUGACUUUGAUGCAAAUGAUCGCCAGAACAUUGUUGCUGAUGUGCCAAACCUAGGGUCAUCUGUACCGUCUGAGACUCACUCUGAUAGUCUAAGAAUCAAAUUGCCCACAACAAACUGUAAUACUGAGCCAAGCAUGGAUCAUUCUCCCAUGAUAACGACCUCCGAAGUCCCUGUCAGCAUUCAGAAGAAUCAAGAAUCAAGGCCAGACGAGCGCCUACUAGACCGUAAGAAUCUACACUCGGUGGAGCCCGGCGAUCUUGCAAUACAGAGAGAUUGGUCUCCAGACACAAAGAAUACAGUUGUGCGUGAGGGCCGCACUCCAGUGGGUGCUGAAUGUAGCGCUACAGAAAAGAAAAGGAGGCCGUCCAUGUGCUCACCUCAGCAUUGGGAGGAAUUCAUCACAGAGCACGGAGAACUUGAAGUUCAGCACUCUGACAAAUCCUCUUCACGAGGCUUUAGCGCAACAACAGCCAAUAUAACUGUAACCACUAUUCACUCCCUGCCUAAACCUGCCCCUACCACCACCGCAGCCAUAGCAACAGCCAUCCCAGCAUUAAGCGAGGGGGAGGUGGGGGCUAGAGGUGGAGACUUGCUGCCUCUGGUGAACUCAGAGUUGCUAUCAGAGCCGGCAAGAGUUGACGACAAGGACAAGGUGGCCGCUGACGAGGGGUCUCUUGAUGUGGGCGAGGAGGAGGAGGAGGAUGAGUUUGGGGCAUUCAUGCUGGCAGAUGGAGAGCAGCUGUGGACGGAUGGGUUCAAUGAGGUCCAACAGUUGGCUGAGGAUUACAACUGUGAGGAACACACAAGUUCUGCUGAUGCAAAUGAACCCGCAUCCUGGGCAUCUGAUUGGACUGUAGUGCAGUCAUUCCAGCAGCCAGAGAGCACAUGGACUGCCUUCAGCCAGGAGACUGUGGAGCAGAAGAUAGUGUCUGGUGGACAGUGGUGGCCUUCUACCGAAAAGCCCAACCUUCCUCUCUCUCCUCUCCAUAAUGUGUCAAAUGUGUUUCUAGAGGCCUUUCCCUCAGAAAAGUCCCCCUGUGAAGAUCCUGAAUACAUUCCUACACUAAAGCAGCUUCUGCAAGGACCAGCUGAAAACAGUGAUACAGGGGAGCACAAGGAGCAGAGCUUACUUGAUGGCCUCCAGGAUCUAAACCGGAUGAUUGGUGUGAAAUAUAAGAGGGCGGAGUCUCUGUCCUGUAAACUUCUCCUUCAGUCACUGCAUUUGCAGCGUCCCAGCUCUGAAUGUGCGACAGUUCGACCGAAGACCAGUGCCAGAUUUUCUCCAAAUCUCCCAACGUCCAACCAGCAAUUAGCUGCAAACGCUAAGAGAAGACUGUCAUAUGACUUCAACAGAAAUAUAAUGGUUUAGUCUCUAUAUCUGCUGAACAUCUUUGACCUGUGCUUCCUUGAAAACAGGAAAUACAGGACAGAGGAAAAAUACAUGCUGGAAAACUGAAUAACUGAGUUUCCAUACAUUCUAUUCGAGGUUUAUUUAAAGUGUAUUUCUUCUUUCAGUGUCUGUUCUCACUCAGUGUCUGGUAGAUUCUGUUUCUCAUUCAGUUGUGUAUCAAGACACACUAGACCUAUGUUUAACCAAAUAUAUGUUUUUCAGUAUUUCAGAAUAUUGGGGUUCAAUUAGGACAAAUAUAAAAAAUGUCAAGUUAAAACCCCCUUUGCCAAAUUGUUCAGUCCAGUUAUUGGAGUCUGGUUAUUGGACCCAUUUUGAUAUAACUGAUAUAUUCAGAUGAAAUGUCAAUAUGCAUUUGUGUAUUACUUUCAAUCAUUGCUAUGGAUUAUAUUUGUUAGAAUAAUAAUAUUUUUCUGGUGUCAUAGCAAACCAGUUAGUGCACAUUCUCACAGGGAUGUAGAUUCAUAUCUGGCCUGUCACGUCCUGAUCCACGUCCCAAACUUUCCUUUCUGCUGACUCAGAAAACUGAAUAAAAAAUAAUAAUGUGAUUUUAGGGGGAUUAGGAUCAACUCUAGCUCCCUGCAAUCUCUCCUUCGCCUGUCUGAAACUGUCAAAGCAAAUUUCCACAAAUUGUAUUUUCAUACACCACCUCACACAGACAUCCAUUUUUUUGUCUUUUUUCCCUGUGCUUGAAGUACUAAAUAUAACACUGUAGUGUACCAUUUUUAACUCCUGACGAAUAGAGACCAUAUUUUCAGAAGUGUUUUAAAAUUAAUGUUGACAUAUGAAAUUGAACCUGUAAGCUUGUUUGUUGAUUGAUGUAAUUAAAACAUCUUUGAAGGAUUGAAUGAAGUGGAUAACUGGGGGAUCAACCAUUUAACGUUUCAUAAGAGACCUGAGCAAAUGUGAAAAAAAGCUCAUUUUUUAUGAACACAAAAUAACUUAAAGCACGUUUCAAUUAUGUGCACAAAUCUAUAUGAUAUAUUUUUUUAAAUAUUGCAUAAUAAAAGCACAUUUCAAAAGUUUUAGUUCCAGUUAUGCCAGCAAAACACUGGAGGACAUUGGUUAACUUUGCCUGAUCUGAGUGACUUGGCUGCUUGUUUACCAAGAUAACAGUUCACUGUCUCCAGCUGUUCACACUGCCCUCACACACCCUCAUCAUGAGUGUAUAUGGCAGUGAGGCAUGUUUACUUAGAGUGGACAAUAUGAAGAGAAAUGCAAUAAACUGUUUUGACAGAGACUGCAGCUAUUUCUAUCCCCUCAGCAACAUGUGACUCUCUCCCUCACUUCAUCUUCACAACAGACUCCGUCACGAGUUUGAGUGUUUUUUCUGUUAUUUUGUAUUUCACCAGAAAACUAUAAAGUGAGGAAAUUUUGGAACAUGAUGUACAACUAUUUUUACAAGCUGGGUCAUCAUGCAGUUUAAGUUUUUUUUUCUUUUCUUUUUUCAUUUAUUGAUCUGAACAAAGCGUGGUUGUGCAAGCCACAGUGCAAACAUUUUCCAAUAAUACUGUAAUAUAUACAGGAUGCAAAUUAACCCAAAGCACUGCAUCAGAAUGUACAGUAUGACACAUGAAU